AUCCCCAAGCUCGCUCUCCAAGCCAUGCCGAGCUUGCCGCCGUGAAGCUCGUCGCCAGACCGCCUCGCCGGAACCCCACCCGUCUCGGCCAGCUUUGUCGUCCACAUCCCGGCGAACCACCGCGUUAGGAACACCACCUUGAUCGAGCCCCUGCUCGUGCCUAGCUCACCACCGUGAAGCUCACCCACGCAGCACCCCGGCGACCGUGCCCACGCUGUUCGCCGUCAUCCGUUCACCCAAGGUUGCCCACAUUGCAACCACUGCUCAGGAGAAGAUGAAGUCGUGAUGGAGGAUCUCCAGGAGUUCCAAGAUUAUGAUGAGUUCUAGGUGUGGGUUAGAGACAAACCCCCAUUCGGCUGCCUAUGAAGGCCAUGUUUAGCUACGUUUUGUUUUUGCACUUUAAUCUAUGUUAAUGACUAUGUGAAUGUCUCGGGCAUCAUGAUGUAAUCAAAUUAAUACUCUUUUAUGUUAUUAUUUGAGCAUUGUGCGAUGA
Zea mays is the source of this 493-nucleotide long non-coding RNA. RefSeq lists it as uncharacterized. NCBI's taxonomy places the organism in Eukaryota, Viridiplantae, Streptophyta, Magnoliopsida, Poales, Poaceae. The transcript is spliced from 2 exons. The record is from RefSeq and is a predicted model, not a curated record.